RNAcentral lists this ribosomal RNA (424 nucleotides) under uncultured bacterium. Its description in RNAcentral is "bacterial SSU rRNA". It matches the Rfam family "Bacterial small subunit ribosomal RNA", at positions 359 to 775 of the family's 1533-position model. The record is from RNAcentral.
GAAUUUUGCACAAUGGCCGAAAGGCUGAUGCAGCAACGCCGCGUGAGUGAAGAAGGCCUUCGGGUUGUAAAGCUCUGUUGACCGGGAAGAACGGCGUAAUCAGGAAAUGGGUUACGUUUGACGGUACCGGUAGAGGAAGCCCCGGCUAACUACGUGCCAGCAGCCGCGGUAAGACGUAGGGGGCUAGCGUUGUCCGGAAUCACUGGGCGUAAAGAGCUCGUAGGCGGUCUGUUAAGUCGGGUGUGAAAGCCCUCGGCUCAACCGAGGAAUUGCACUCGAUACUGGCAGGCUAGAGUCAAGCAGAGGGAAGUGGAAUUCCCGGUGUAGCGGUGAAAUGCGCAGAUAUCGGGAAGAACACCGGUGGCGAAGGCGGCUUCCUGGGCUUGUACUGACGCUGAGGAGCGAAAGCUAGGGGAGCGAACAG